Molecule: ribosomal RNA, 325 nt
Filed under: uncultured eukaryote
Lineage: Eukaryota
Description: partial 18S ribosomal RNA
Rfam family: Eukaryotic small subunit ribosomal RNA
Source: RNAcentral
CCCUUAGAUGUCCUGGGCCGCACGCGCGCUACACUGAGUGUCUGAGAUACGAGUCUGCCUGGUCCGGCAAGGUCUAGGUAAUCGCUAAAAGACACAUCAUGCUUGGGAUAGAUUAUUGCAAAUAUUAAUCUUGAACGAGGAAUUCCUAGUAAGCACAAGUCAUCAGCUUGUGUUGAUUACGUCCCUGCCCUUUGUACACACCGCCCGUCGCUCCUACCGAUUGAAUGUUCCGGUGAGCUCUUCGGACUGCGCGGUCUGCAGUUUCUGCGUUCCGUGCGGAAAGUUGCGCAAACCUUAACAUUUAGAGGAAGGAGAAGUCGUAACA